AGAGAGUGGAAAUGAACGAAUAUAUUGAUUCAAUUGCACAAUCUGUUACAUUGCAAUGCAAGUAUCAUCAUUAGGAGUACAUCACUUUCUUAGAAAAUACACUUUACAUAAUAUAAAAUUUCUAGAAAUUGAAAGAAUUAUUUUCGACUCUCCUCCAAGUACCAAGCAUCAACAUAUAGGGGCUUCUGGCUUGCGCCCAUGCUAGCCCUACCAAAGCUAGGCUCGCCAAAUUUUUGGCUGACAAAUUCGCCGCCGUCAUCUCACCAAGAGUUGGAGCAGCAAACUGAAGCAGGACCAAAGUUGGCGUCCAUCCAAAUGCUGGCCAACGCACUUUGACAAUAAUUUGGCACGGCGGCUCUUGGCUCUGAACCAAACAGAUCCAUAUUCUCCAAGUAUCCAAGUAACCAUGUACUGUAUUAUUGAACUUCUCAACCUACAAUGAAAAAACAUAAUACUAUUCUGGCAUUUAUUUGAAAUUUGAAGUUUAAAUAUACAUGCUAUGAGUUGUACCUAAAGGAUCCAUAUAAAAAUAACCAGUGUGCAAGAAAAGAUCGUUGGGAGAAAACUACAAGCUUAUGUAUGUCUGACAAAUAACUUCGUACAUAAUAAAACACCAAGCAUCGCUGAGCAAUCUGAUGUACAUGUACACUGUGAACAACCAUCAACAUGCAUGUCCUACUAACAAUUAUCCAAAGAUCGUAUUGUAUCAACAAUGAGAUGAAUUCAGCAACCAACUAUUAGAUAAAUAGGUAACCAGUAAUAUCAACUACACAGGGUUGAAUAAUUCUAUUUUCCAAAGGUCUAUGCAUUAAUUAGUUUUGCAUCACCAAUGCGUGUGUAUUAAUCAUGCUUGGUAUGGUGUAUUAGGAUUUAGGAGAAACAAACUCAAUGCCAACAGCUCAAAAAUCAUUAAAUAAUCCACCUCAUGCAAAACUUCGUACUUACUUGAUAACUAAAUGUUAUACUUUAGUAUUUCCCAAUCCAUGAAUCAAGAUUCUCAGAACCUGUAGAAGCAACAACAUGACAAAGAAACGCAUCAUCAGAUUGGGGCUUCUCUAGGAAAAAGUAGGAGAGUCCUGUUCUAGAGAAGGUUGGACCCUAGAUGUUUACAGAAAAAUAAAAAGAAAUUAAUAUGCCCCUCUUUUAUUCUUCAAGACAAACCUAGUACAAAAGAUGAUUACAUAUUUUAGAAAUGCAUCAGAGGUGACCAAUGUAAUGGUUGAACAAUCUGAAUAAAAGCAGAACUAAGUAAUGGCUAAACAAUGUUUUGUCAGUGAGUACCCAGUCCAAUGUGGCAUAUGCUAUAAUCAAGAAAUUUGAUCCUUGUCGCCACUUGGCCCUCUAAUCAUGUAUCAUUUGUCCUGUCAUUGAAUAACUGAUCAUCAAUACCUAUAUGAAUGUACAAAAUAUGGGACUGGACAAAAUUUAAGACUGUAUAAAUAGAUAUAUAUAUAUUGGCACACUUAACUAGCAAAGAUUCGCUGGACCAGUUAGUGUAAAAUUAAGGAUAUAUAAUAAAUAAGAAUGCAACAUCAUGAGAAGAAGAAAAUGAAACUGAAACCAGGGGAGAGUGUAUCAAGAAAUGAAUGGGUUGCCCCACUUUCUCUGGCAUUGUAGUAAGAUGUACAUAUCCAUCUGCCCCUGAAGAUGCACGCUGUUAAAGCAAGUAACUCCCUUGAAUAAUCAGGCAAGGCAAGCUAAAUAUUUCACCACAAUCUUAUCUAUUUGCGCAUCUAGUUUGAAACCUGAGCUGUAUGAGUAUUUAGAGACUAAUGACUGUUAGCUGACAUUUCGCAGGCACAGAAAAUGCAAGGGGAAAAUCACAUGAUGAUAUACAGGUGGAAAAUAUAUUUAGAUACAGUCGACACAAAUCUUAUUGGUUGCCUGGUAAGUUUUCCUACUAACCUCCAUGUCAUGGAGUAGUACAACUCCAGCACGUAAGUGACUUCCAGAGCUCGGAGAUUUCAUGGUAUGACAACCUGAAGCCAAUGUCGAGGCAGCCUGGAGCUCCUCCAUAUCCUCCAGAACAAAGAUGAUGAUGUCAAUAGAGUUCAUCAUAGGUUCAAUGCAUGUUUUAUCUUGAUAACAGAAGGGGAAAAGCAUUAGCAGCUGAAUCAUACUUGCAUUACGGGCUUAUAAGGUAAUUUGUUUCAGAUCCAACCUACAGUCCAGAUUAACAGUCGAAACAAUAUAGCAGGGCCGGGGUGGCGCAACACUGUCAUGCCCGAGCGGGCAGCAGCACACACACGUGAUUUAGUGGGCCUACAGACCGUAGGCGAGGGAACCACGCCGGCCACCGUUGCGACUAGGGUUAAGAAUAAAUCAUUUGUAUAUAUAACAUGAAGGUAUGGUUAGAAGCCUUGGUGUGCAGCACGAUUCAUCUAUGCGUGCAAAUCAACCAAUAGGGUACCUGUACAUUAUCGUUUUUGCUGGUUUGCGUUGAAGGUGAACAUGUGUUACAGCCAAAACCUGUGUUACUAGUAGUUUGAAGUUGCAAAUAAUUUUUUCCACAACGUGAUCUUAAAUAAUAAUCAGUUAAAGGUGCAUGACAGUAGUAGCUAUGUUGGAACAUCUAUCACAGAUUACGGCAGAAUAUAAGGAUUCAGAGGAACCGAGCAAGUCCCUCAAGAUGUGUGUUGUUACCGACGGUGCGAUGUUGCUCUUGCUG
RNAcentral lists this long non-coding RNA (2668 nucleotides) under Triticum aestivum (bread wheat). RNAcentral describes it as "long non-coding RNA (TAES_LNC015881)". The record is from RNAcentral. Lineage: Eukaryota; Viridiplantae; Streptophyta; Magnoliopsida; Poales; Poaceae.